GGUCUGGUGGUGUAGUUGGUUAUCACGUCAGUCUAACAGCUUGGGGACUUGUCGCAAUGUCCUCACUGUACACUGAAGGUCUCCGGUUCAAGUCCGGGCUAGAUCA
Colletotrichum sublineola is the source of this 106-nucleotide transfer RNA. It matches the Rfam family "tRNA". Rfam says of the family: Transfer RNA (tRNA) molecules are approximately 80 nucleotides in length. Their secondary structure includes four short double-helical elements and three loops (D, anti-codon, and T loops). Further hydrogen bonds mediate the characteristic L-shaped molecular structure. tRNAs have two regions of fundamental functional importance: the anti-codon, which is responsible for specific mRNA codon recognition, and the 3' end, to which the tRNAs corresponding amino acid is attached (by aminoacyl-tRNA synthetases). tRNAs cope with the degeneracy of the genetic code in two manners: having more than one tRNA (with a specific anti-codon) for a particular amino acid; and 'wobble' base-pairing, i.e. permitting non-standard base-pairing at the 3rd anti-codon position. Lineage: Eukaryota; Fungi; Ascomycota; Sordariomycetes; Glomerellales; Glomerellaceae. The record is from Rfam.